Molecule: regulatory RNA element, 109 nt
Rfam family: PyrR binding site
About the family: This family represents the PyrR binding site and terminator structure. This RNA structure is found upstream of a variety of genes involved in pyrimidine biosynthesis and transport. The alignment also includes a portion of the antiterminator structure.
Source: Rfam
AACUCCUUUAAUUUAGUCCCGUGAGGCUAAUAAGGUACGAUUAAUUUAGGCACCGUCUAGCCUAAUAUUAGUGAAUCCUUCUGCCACGCGGGCAGAAGGAUUUUUUUUA